Molecule: non-coding RNA, 741 nt
Organism: Vicugna pacos (alpaca)
Lineage: Eukaryota; Metazoa; Chordata; Mammalia; Artiodactyla; Camelidae
Source: RefSeq, a predicted model, not a curated record
CGGGGCGGGGCUCGGAGAAGGGUUGCAGUUUGACCAGCGCUUCCAGAAGCCAGGGAAUGAACGUUGACUCUUUCAGUCCUGGAGUCGGAUGCUGUCGCUUUCCCAGCUUCACAGAUGUUGAAACUGAAGAGCAGAGAGGUUAAGCUGGUGUUCUGAGUAAAUGUGGGCUUAGCGGUCGAGACCCUGGGCUUUAUGGACAGCCGAAUCUGGAGACAAGUCCUGGGUCUGUUGUUGACGGUGGACACCCCGAAUUAGUCAUGUUCCCCAUCCUGAGACUUCGCUCCUCGUCUGCCAAGUGGGAAUAGUAGUGUCUGUUUCAUAGGAUCACAUCCUACGUUGCAGGGAUGUCUGAGGACAAAUGGGGAUUCUCACUGACUUCUAGGAAUAUCCUGGGGCAGGUGAAGGCUCCGUGAAGCGGGGGCGACGUCUUCAUCAUUCAGUGACACAGAGUGGGGGCGACACGAGUAUUUGCUGUGUGACUGAGUGUGCAAGCCUCCCAGCCCUGACCUUUGGACCUGCUGUGAAGAGCUUCUAAACUGUGGAAAAUUCUGGAGUAGCUCUCAAACUUUAAUGUACAUUGUAAGGAGAAUUUUUUUUUUAACAUGCACACUCUGGGGUCUCAACCCCAGAGACUCUAUGCUUGUGAAACACAGGUGUAGCUGUAUAAGAUUUUGAUGGCUUGACCUUUCCUUGAAAGUUUCUGAAAAGAGUUGAGACAAUCUAGGUAUCACAGAAAGAGAA